RNAcentral lists this ribosomal RNA (515 nucleotides) under uncultured cyanobacterium. Its description in RNAcentral is "bacterial SSU rRNA". It matches the Rfam family "Bacterial small subunit ribosomal RNA", at positions 85 to 634 of the family's 1533-position model. Lineage: Bacteria; Bacillati; Cyanobacteriota. The record is from RNAcentral.
CUUCGGGUUAGUGGCGGACGGGUGAGUAACGCGUGAGAAUCUGCCCUCAGGAGGGGGAUAACGGCUGGAAACGGCCGCUAAUACCCCAUAUGCCGAGAGGUGAAAUGAAUUUCGCCUGAGGAUGAGCUCGCGUCUGAUUAGCUAGUUGGUGUGGUAAAGGCUCACCAAGGCUUCGAUCAGUAGCUGGUCUGAGAGGAUGAUCAGCCACACUGGGACUGAGACACGGCCCAGACUCCUACGGGAGGCAGCAGUGGGGAAUUUUCCGCAAUGGGCGCAAGCCUGACGGAGCAACGCCGCGUGAGGGAUGAAGGCCUCUGGGCUGUAAACCUCUUUUAUCAAGGAAGAAGAUCUGACGGUACUUGAUGAAUAAGCCACGGCUAAUUCCGUGCCAGCAGCCGCGGUAAUACGGGAGUGGCAAGCGUUAUCCGGAAUUAUUGGGCGUAAAGCGUCCGCAGGCGGUUUUACAAGUCUGUCGUUAAAACGUGGAGCUCAACUCCGUUUCGGCGAUGGAAACU